Symphalangus syndactylus (siamang) is the source of this 585-nucleotide long non-coding RNA. RefSeq lists it as uncharacterized. The record is from RefSeq and is a predicted model, not a curated record. Lineage: Eukaryota; Metazoa; Chordata; Mammalia; Primates; Hylobatidae.
UCCUGCCACCGUGUGAGAUGUGCCUUGCUUCCCCUUCACCUUCAGCCAUGAUUGUAAGUUUCCUGAGGCCUCCACAGCCACGUGGAACUAUUCCCUAAGGAGUGAUGUAUGCAUUGAAAUUGUCAGAGGAUAGAAGACGUGAAGUCAUUAAACAACAAUCGCCAUCUCUCCUGCUGCCCCAAUCUAUAAUCCCCAUCUUGCUUCCCCGUGUAUAAGAACACCUGUGACUACAUCCAGAUAAUCCAGGAUAAUCUUCGAAUCUCAAGAUCCUCAAUAUAAUCACAUCUGCAAAGACCCUUUUUCCGUAAAAGAAUGUAUUAUAACCGAGACCAGAUAUCACAAAAGGGUAUCAAAACAAGUCAGGUGAUUGCAGACAUCUGGAAGUACGAUUCCAACCAGGAGUGAGACAAUGAUGCAUCUUCUGGAGAACUUCUUGUUGAAAGGCUUGGGAGAAAUGUGCGAAAGACUUGACUUCCAGGAAAAUGCCUAACUACAUCACAAUCUCCAGGCUUAGAAGAUGAGAAACCUAAGGAUGGAAAUGUUUCCUUCUGACUUAGAUGGACGAUAAGCUUACUAUUGGGUUUG